Molecule: ribosomal RNA, 229 nt
Filed under: uncultured bacterium
Lineage: Bacteria
Description: partial 16S ribosomal RNA
Rfam family: Bacterial small subunit ribosomal RNA
Source: RNAcentral
UGAGCAAUCUGCCCUUCUCAUCGGAAUAAGCGUUGGAAACGACGUCUAAUGCCGAAUACGACCUCCUUUCGCAUGAUCGGAGGUGGAAAGCUCCGGCGGAGAAGGAUGAGCUCGCGGCCUAUCAGCUUGUUGGUGAGGUAAUGGCUCACCAAGGCAUUGACGGGUAGCCGGCCUGAGAGGGUGACCGGCCACACUGGGACUGAGAUACGGCCCAGACCUCUACGGGAGG